UUAUGAGUAGAUUGGUUAGAGGAAGUAUAAGUCACAAGUGGACACAAGUGAGAUUAAAAUAAUAUAAAAUGAAAAAUAAAAAAAGGAAAAGUAAAUAACUAGUAACGGAGUCCGUUAGGGAAAAAGGGGGGAAAGAAAGGGGGCAUAACAAAUUGAAGAGAGAGAAACACCUCCUUCCUCAAUAUUUCUGAAGAACAAGAUAGAAAAAUGCCUCAUCAUCUCCUCACCAUUUCUGCAGAAAAUCAAUUCUUCAAGGAAAAGAGAGACGGUUUCUUAUACUCCCCGAAUUGACAUGAUGACCUUUCUUGUUCAUGGUUUAUUAUCUCGUCCUCCAUCGGAGUGGACAUUAUGGUGUUUGUGACGUUUAUUACCAUGUUGUAUGGCUGGAUUAUCCUUUUUGGUACCCUUAUUUUAUUCUCGCUUUUGGAUUCUCCUUUUUUGGGAACUUUAUAUUGUAUUUUUAUUAAGUGUUAUGACGUUUGAUAUUAUUGUAUUUUUUAUCAAGUGUUAUGACGUUUGAUAUUAUUGUAUUUUUAUUAAGUGUUAUGACGUUUGAUAUAAUAAGCCUUGAAUUUAACAGUAA
Molecule: long non-coding RNA, 583 nt
Organism: Spinacia oleracea (spinach)
Lineage: Eukaryota; Viridiplantae; Streptophyta; Magnoliopsida; Caryophyllales; Amaranthaceae
Exons: 2
Source: RefSeq, a predicted model, not a curated record